GACGGGCCCGCACAAGCAGCGGAGCGUGUGGUUUAAUUCGAUGUUUACACGAAGAACCUUACCAGGGUUUGACAUGCAAGUGGUAGGAAACCGAAAGGUGACCGACCCUUCGGGGAGCUUGCACAGGUGCUGCAUGGCUGUCGUCAGCUCGUGUCGUGAGAUGUUCGGUUAAGUCCGCUAACGAGCGCAACCCUCGCUGUGUGUUAUAUGUGUCACACGGGACUGCCGGUCUUAAGCCGGAGGAAGGUGGGGAUGAUGUCAAGUCAGCAUGGCCUUUAUAUCCUGGGCUACACACACGCUACAAUGGCCAACACAAUAGGUUGCUAAGCCGCGAGGUGGCGCCAAUCCAUAAAGUUGGUCUCAGUUCAGAUUGUAGGCUGCAACCCGCCUGCAUGAAGAUGGAGUUGCUAGUAACCGCAGGUCAGCUAUACUGCGGUGAAUACGUUCCCGGGGCUU
Molecule: ribosomal RNA, 456 nt
Filed under: uncultured Leptolinea sp.
Lineage: Bacteria; Bacillati; Chloroflexota; Anaerolineae; Anaerolineales; Anaerolineaceae
Description: bacterial SSU rRNA
Rfam family: Bacterial small subunit ribosomal RNA
Source: RNAcentral